GUUGUACGUUGAUAGAAGACAGGAAAAUGUGAGUUGUACGUUGAUAGAAGACAGGAAAAUGUGAGUUGUACGUUGAUAGAAGACAGGAAAAUGUGAGUUGUACGUUGAUAGAAGACAGGAGAGGAAACAAUUUCAUUUAAAAAUACCGACACGUGAUAAAAUACCGCGAUUGUUUGUAUUGCUGAUAAGCUGACCUUUUCUGUACGUGCAAAAUGACGGCCGGCUGAUUUGAGGCAGCGACCGGAAGCAUGUUAAAGACAAGAACAGCUUCUAAACUUACCGAAAC
RNAcentral lists this long non-coding RNA (286 nucleotides) under Mytilus galloprovincialis (Mediterranean mussel). Lineage: Eukaryota; Metazoa; Mollusca; Bivalvia; Mytilida; Mytilidae. The record is from RNAcentral.